UUACCGCGGCUGCUGGCACGGAGUUAGCCGACCCUUAUUCUUACGGUACCGUCAGCUCAUCACACGUGAUGAGGUUUCUUCCCGUACAAAAGCAGUUUACAACCCGUAGGGCCGUCUUCCUGCACGCGGCAUGGCUGGUUCAGAGUUUCCUCCAUUGACCAAUAUUCCUUACUGCUGCCUCCCGUAGGAGUCUGGUCCGUGUCUCAGUACCAGUGUGGGGGAUCACCCUCUCAGGCCCCCUACCCAUCGUUGCCUUGGUGAGCCGUUACCUCACCAACAAGCUAAUGGGGCGCAUGCCCAUCCUGUACCGCCGGAGCUUUCAACCCGGAAAGAUGCCUUUCCGGAUAUUAUGGGAUAUUAAUCCGGAUUUCUCCGGGCUAUUUCCCAGUACAGGGCAAGUUGCAUACGUGUUACGCACCCGUCCGCCGGUCGCCGCCUGGUAUUGCUACCUGCGCUGCCCCUCGACUUGCAUGUAUUAAGCCUGCCGCUAGCGUUCAUCCUGAGCCAUGAUCAAACUC
This 518-nucleotide ribosomal RNA is filed under the name uncultured Bacteroidota bacterium. RNAcentral's name for it is "uncultured Bacteroidetes bacterium partial 16S ribosomal RNA". The record is from RNAcentral. Lineage: Bacteria; Pseudomonadati; Bacteroidota.